Pseudophryne corroboree (corroboree frog) is the source of this 14402-nucleotide long non-coding RNA. RefSeq lists it as uncharacterized. The record is from RefSeq and is a predicted model, not a curated record. NCBI's taxonomy places the organism in Eukaryota, Metazoa, Chordata, Amphibia, Anura, Myobatrachidae. The transcript is spliced from 3 exons.
UAUAUGCACAGCAGAGUGGCACCAACUUGCACAGGGGGGGCCCGUGCAUCCCUCAGCCAGAUACAGAUCUGAGAUCAGUGCAAUUUCUAGCCCCCAAGGACUGCAGCCUCCCUGGACCCACGGCAGCCCAGCAAGUGUGUGUUGGCCUGGGAAGAGAGGAUGCAGUGCUGCAGGCUGACAGCUCUCUCAUGUCCUUCUUAUAAUGAGGUGAUGAAAAUUGUGCCCUGUAUUAAAGUUUUUGUCUGGCUAGUGACUCAAACAAAUGAUCUCCAAUACAUAGCCCUGAGAGCUGAAAUUCUGGUUGGCAGAUGACCUCAGUGACACGAGGGUACGUUCCUGACAUUGGAAGUGAUGUGGUAAUUGGUGCCAAAUUCAACCCUGCCUCUUAUAUAAACACCACCCACUUGUUCUUCUUUAGCAUUGCUAAUGCUAGUUCCUGGUUGCGUCCCUGUUUGUUUGAUCCAGCUUGAUUUCUGUCUUCGCUUCCUGUCUUCUCCCUUGGCACUUCUGCUGUGGACUCUGGCAUUUGAAUUCGCUGACUCUCCUGAAUACUCCCGUGAUACUUGCUUUUACAGUUCUUGUUCUGAUCCAUGGAAUGCUUAACUAUUCUCCUGUAGGACUGACUAUUGGUUCCAGUUGCCAGACUGUUACACUGUGUACCCACUCAGGGAACCGUGACCUGCGUGCCAGGUGUAGAAAAGCCCAAAUCCCCUUGUAGAGAGGGCUAUCUUUAUGUAUGGGCUAAGUGGGCAGUAGCCCAGGGACACCCCGAUUCUAGGGGCCCAGAGCACACAAGUACCCUUAGCAUUUUUUUGUUUCAUUAUUAUUAUCUUUUUAUUUAUUUAUUUAUUUAUGUCCUUCAGAAUUUUCUAUAUACAUAUGCGGACAGGUGGGUGGGAGCUGAGGGGGGGGGAAGGGGAGUCAUAAGAUGAGUGGCAAAUGCCUAUGACUGGACUGUAAUAGGUUCCUUCCUCAUCCACACAGCAGCUGUGGAGCUACUGGUCUAGCGAGAUGAUGACAUCGUCAACUCGUCAGUGUUUCUCUAACUACUCCAGGCUCCGGGAUUGGGAGUUACAGCAGCAUUAACUGUUUGGGUGGGCUGAGACAUGUUGGCCUUCCCAUGUAUGUAUGUAUGUAUGUAUGUAUGUAUGUAUGUAUGUAUGUGUGUGUGUGACUGAGGCCCUGUGUGUCUCUGUGGGGUGGACAGGUAAGCUGCAUGCUAUCAUCACUGCUGCAUAGCCUCUACUGUUUGGGCCAGUGACAGUACCUGCAAGAGCUUCACCAGCCUUACUAGAAUUUUCAGUGUUACCGACAUCAUAUAUUACUCCAGAGGGACUUACACUCACCCUCCCCUGUGGGCACUACUUACACUCACCCUCCCCUGUGGGCACUACUUACACUCACCCUCCCCAGUGGGCACUACUUACACUCAUCCUACCUGUGUGCACUGUGUGUAAUGUCACAACUUCUUAUUGCCCGUGCCUAAAAUAAUUGAUAUAUAUCAUGUAUGGUGCACUGCACGUACUGUCAUUCUUUUAAUAUUUUCUUCACAGGAGGACUACAGGUGCCAGCAGGCUCUUAAUGUCUGGUAAUGACUGCAAUUGUUGCUCAACAAGUGCCGGCAUGCUAGGGCUGGCCUGCUGGUACCUGUAGUCCCACUGUAAAUAACUAUAUUAUGUUUUUUACACCAUUAACCCCACACCAACCACCACCAAGGUUGUGGGGAAUAGCCGUGGCUUUUCAGUGAAGUACUGCGGGUUGGGAGAGGGACCCCAUUCUUUGGGAGAUUCCCACUUUCUCAGGAGUUCCAACCCUGGGCUAACCAGUUUAGGGCUGGUUAAAGUGACAGUAGGGGGACAUUAAGCAUUAUAACCCGCUGGUGGUUCAGCCCAGUGCUGGUUAUUGUAAAAUCGUAGGGACCCGGCACUGGUUUUUCCCCAGAGUUUCCAGUAGAAGACCAGGCUGAGUGAUCCGGUAUUAGUUAUGAUAUUGGGAGGGACCUUACAUAUUAAUUUUUUCUGCUUUAAAUAUUUACUGUGGAUUCAGACUUCUAUUUGACAGCACGGUUUAUCAUAAACGGGCAAAAUGACAGGGUACUAGAAUGAAAGAACGAAGGGUAUCAUCAUUGGAAGACAACAGCCACUCAAAAACUAUGCUUAUUUUAUCCAGCAUUUAGGACUUCUAAGCUGACGGCUUUUUCCAGCGAUCUAGUUUAAAAAUCAAAUACAAUUCUUAGUAAAUUAACCGCCAAGUCAUUCUCUAAUUCUAAUGAGUAGAAUUCUAAACAUGAUAGAGCAUAAUAAACACAUUUUAAAAAAACAAGAAAUACUUUAUAUUAGGACAGAAAAAUUGUAAAUUCUUUAAUGUAAAUAGACCAUGUAGUGCUGCAUUCAUUUUCAUUUAAUAGAAGGGGGUGGGGGGUAAGUAAAGAGGGUAAGGAAUUAAAGAUAAAGGGCUUAAUUCAGAGUUGAUCACAGCAGCAAAUUUGUUAGCAGUUGGGCAAAACCAUGGCCCUCAUUCCGAGUUGUUCGCUCGCUAGCUGCUUUUAGCAGCAUUGCAAACGCUAGGCCGCCGCCCUCUGGGAGUGUAUCUUAGCUUAGCAGAAUAGCAAACGAAAGAUUAGCAGAACUGCUACUAAAUAUUUUCUUGCAGUUUCUGAGUAGCUCCAGACCUACUCCUAGAUUGCGAUCAGCUCGGUCAGUUUAGUUCCUGGUUUGACGUCACAAAUGCCCUGCGUUCGGCCAGCCACUCCCCCGUUUCUCCAGACACUCCCGCGUUUUUCCCUGACACGCCUGCGUUAUUUAGCACACUCCCGGAAACUGCUCAGUUACCACCCAGAAACGCCCCUUUCCUGUCACUCACCGAUCAGCAGUGCGACUGAAAAGCGCUGCACGAACAACAGCAAAUCUACUAAGUUUUGUGUAAAAUAACUUAGCGCAUGCGCUCUGCGUACCAUGCGCAUGCGCAUUUAGCAACAAAUCGCAGCAUAGCGAAAAUGGGCAACGAGCGAACAACUCGGAAUGACCACCCAUGUGCACUGCAGGGGGGCAGAUAUAACAUAUGCAGAGAGAGUUAGAUUUGGGUGGGGUGUGUUCAAACUGAAAUCUAAAUUGCAGUGUAAAAUUAAAGCAGCCAGCAUUUACCCUGCACAGAAACAAAAUAACCCACCCAAAUCUAACUCUGCACAUGUUACAUCUGCCCCACCUGCAGUGCACAUGGUUUUGCCCAACUGCUAACACAUUUUCUGCUGUGAUCAGGUCUGAAUUACCCCCAAUAUGGGAUAGCUGUUAUCCAAUAAACAAUAGUUUCAAAAUGUGGUCUGAACUAUAAAUCCGGUAUAAAGGAUUUAUUAAGCUGAUACCAGUGAGCCUCGGUUUUGUGGUAUGUAAUAAAGGUAUUACACAUGCCACAAAUAUUCGAAAGAUUAAAUGAACCAAAUACUGUACUAUACAAUUAAUUAAGGAGUGCUUUGGUGGGGGAAAUGGGUAUGGUUCCAAUCUCUAGCUAUGAGGAAAUUAGCUCACUGAAAAAGAACAUUAUAAUUUUAUCAUUUGGUUCUCUCAAAGCUCAUCCAAAAUGUGAAGGAACGUUCACACUUUAUAAUAUCUUUAUAAGAGAUGUGCGUGGACCCCCGUGUUUUGGAUUUGGUUUUAAAUCUUCAUUGUGCCUGGUUUUAAUUAGAGAUGUGCGGCGGGCACUUUUCGAGUUUUGUGUUUUGGUUCUGGUUCCAUGCUCGUAUUUUGGAUCUGGAUUGGUUUUGCCAAAACCAUCCUUUCGUGUUUUGGUUUUGGAUCCGGAUGAGCACAAGACAGCACCACUGGACUGGACUUAUAUGGCAGUACCCCUGGAGUUUUACGGCAGUGUCAGACAGGAUGGCACUUUAAAAAACUAGUCCCCAAACAGCACACGAUGCAAAGAAGAAAAAGAGGUGCAAGAUGGAAUUGUCCAUGGGCCCUCCCACCCACCCUUAUUUUGUAUAAACAGGACAUGAACACUUUAACAAACCAAUAAUCUCAGCGACAGGGUCUGCCACACGACUGUGGCUGAAAUGAAUGGUUUGUUUAGGCCCCCAUCAAAAAAGAAGCAAUCAAUCUCUCCUUGCACAAACUGGCUCUACAGAGGCAAGAUGUUGACCUCAUCCUCAUCCUCCGAUUCCUCACCCCUUUCACUGUGUACAGCCUCACAGAGUAUUAAUUCGUCCCCACUGGAAUCCACCAUCACAGGUUCCUGUGUACUUUCUGUAGGCAAUUGCUAGUAAAGGUCUUCCCGGAGGAAUUUAUAAUUCAUUUUGAUGAACAUCAUCUUCUCCACAUUUUGUGGAAGUAACCUCCUACGCCGAUCCCUGACAAGGUUACCGGCUGCACUAACAUUCUUUCAGAGUACACACUGGAGGGAGGGCAACUUAGGUAAAAUAGAGCCAGUUUAUGCAAGGGCAUCCAAAUUGCCUCUUUUUCCUGCCAGUAUACAUAUGGACUGUCUGACAUGCCUACUUGGAUGCUGUCACUCAUAUAAUCCUCCACCAUUCUUUCAAUGGUGACAGAAUCAUAUGCAGUGACAGUAGACAUGUCAGUAAUCGUUGGCAGGUUCUUCAAUCCGGACCAGAUAUCAGCAGUCGCUCCUGACUGCCCUGUAUCACCGCUAGCGGGUGGGCUAGGAAAUCUUAUCCUUUUCCUCACAGCCCCAGUUGCGAGAGAAAAUGAAGGAGGAGCUGUUGACGGGUCACGUUCCGCUUGAGUUGACAAUUUUCUCACCAGCAGGUCUUUGUACCUCUGCAGACUCGUGUCUGCCACAAAGAGAGAUACAAAGUAGGCUUUAAACCUAGGAUCGAGCACGGUGGCCAAAAUUUAGUGAUCUGAUUUCAACAGAUUGACCACCCUUGAAUCCUGGCAAAGCGAAUGAAGGGCUCCAUCCACAAGUGCCACAUACUUUGCGGAAUCGCUCCACCUUAGCUCCUCCUUCAAUUUCUCCAGCUGCUUCUGCAAAAGCCUGAUGAGGGGAAUGACCUGACUCAAACUGGCAGUGUCUGAACUGACUUCACGUGUGGCAAGUUCGAAGGGUUGGAGAACCUUGCACAAGACGAAAAUCAUUCUCCAAUGUGCUUGAGUCAGGUGCAAUCCCCCUCCUUGGCCUAUAUCGUAGGUGGAUGUAUAGGCUUGAAUUGCCUUUUGCUGCUCCUCCAUCCACUGAAGCAUAGAGAGUGUUGAAUUCCACCUCAUUACCACCUUUUGCUUCAGGUGAUGACAGGGCAGGUUCAGUCUUUGCCACGUGGUGGCUGACUGCCGAAAGUGGCCCACAAUUUUUCGGCCCACCAACAGCAUCUCCUGCACACCCCUGUCAUUUAAAAAAAAAAUUCUGCACCACCAAAUUAAUUGUAUGUGCAAAACAUGGGACGUGCUGGAAUUUGCCCAGAUGUAAUGCACGCACAAUAUUGGUGGCAUUGUCCGAUAUCACAAAUCCACAGGAGAGUCUAAUUGGGUAAGCCAUUGUGCGAUGAUGUCCCUCAGUUUCUGUAAGAGAUUGUCAGUGGUGUGUCUCUUACGUAAAGCGGUGAUAGUAGCCUGCCUAGGAACGAGUUGGCGUUUGCAAGAUGCUGCUACUGGUGCCGCUGCUGUUGUUGCUGCGGGAGGCAAUACAUCUACCCAGUGGGCUGUCACAGUCAUAUAGUCCUUAGUCUGCCCUGUUCCACUUGUCCACAUGUCCGUGGUUAAGUGGACAGUGCGUACAACUGGAUUUUUUAGGAGACUGAGGACACUUUUUCUGACGUCUCUGUACAUUCUCGGUAUCGCCUGCCUAGUGAAGUGGAACCUAGAUGGGAUUUGGUACUGGGGACACAGUACCUCAAACAAUUCUCUAAGUCCCACUGAACUAAUGGCGGAUACCAGACGCACCUCUAAUACCAACAUAGCUGUCAAGGCCUCAGUUAUCUGCUUUGCAACAGGAUGACUGCUGCCAUAUUUAAUCUUCCUCACAAAGGACCGUUGGACAAUCAAUUGCUUAUUUGAAGUAGUACAAGUGGUCUUCCGACUUCCCCUCUGGGAUGACGAUUGACUCCCAGCACCAACAACAGCAGCGGCAGCAACAGCAGCAGUAGGCGUAAUACUCAAGGAUCCUCUGGAGGAAUCCUGGUUAGGAGAGGACUGCUCAGUCUUGCUAGUGACAUGGUCUGCAGGACUACUGAUGUUCCUGACUGAGGAGGAAGUUGAUGUUGAGGGAAUUGGUGGUGUGGCUUGCUUGGUUACAAGAGGAAGAAGGGAUUUGGGUGUCAGUGGACUGCUUACGCUCUUACCCAAAGUUUCACAACUUGACACUGACUUCUGAUGAAUGCGCAGCAGGUGACGUAUAAGGGAGGAUGUUCCUUGGUGGUUAACGUCCUUACCUCUACUUAUUAUUGACAGAGGUAACACACAGAUUGACACCUGUUGUCCGGAUUUGCGGAUAAAUAAUUCCACACCAAAGAGGUGGCUUUUUUGGUAUUUUGCCCAGGCAUCACAAGGGCUUAUUCAUCCCAUGGACAACAGGCGUCUCCCCCGGUGCCUGAUUUAAACAAAUCACAUCACCAUCAGAAUCCUCAUCGUCAACUUCCUCCUCAGCGCCAGCAACACCCAUAUCCUCAUGCAGGUGUACUUCAACAGUGACAUCUUCAAUUUGAAUAUUAGAAACUGGACUGUGGGUGCUCCUUCCAGCACUUGCAGAGGGCGUGCAAAUGGUGGAAGGAGCCACCUCUUCCCGUCCACUGUUGGGAAGGUCAGGCAUCGCAACCGCCAACACACUUGGACUCUCCUUGGUGAUUUGUGAUACUAUCUUAGAAUGCACAGUUCUUUGCUGUGCUUUGCCAUCUUAACAGUUAGAAUUUUUCUAGCGGGACUAGUUAUGAACAUAGGCCAGGGCCUUAGCCGUUCCUUGCCACUCCAUGUCGUAAAUGGCAUAUUGGCAAGUUACAUUUCUCCUCAGACCAUUUAAAUUUAUUUUUUUGGGUCAUUUUACUGAACUUUUGCUUUUCGGAUUUGACAUGCCCUCUACUAUAACACUGGGCAUCGGCCUUGGCAGACAACGUUGAUGGCAUUUCAUCGUCUAUGUCAUGACUAGUGGCAGCAGCUUCAGCACUAGGAGGAAGUGGUUCUUGAUCUUUCCCUAUUUUAUCCUCCAAAUUUUUGUUCUCCAUUAUUUUUCUGGAGUUAUUUAACACAAUAUGUGGCAAAGGAGAACAUACCCCUACACCUCACAGGGUAAACCCUGUAAAAAUUAUAUUAAUUAAAUGUUAAUAACCCCUUUAUUUGGAGUAAAUAAUAUACAGCACAGGACACUACUACUGGUCUGAUGCAGGACAACACAGCAACACUGUAAGGGACUUAUUAUACAGCAGUACUGGACAUAUGGGAGCAGAAAACACCACCACUGUGACUAGUCACUGGACUGACUGAUGCACAGGACACUACCACUGGUCUGAUGCAAGACAACACAUAUAAAUAUACAGCAGCACUGGGCAUAUGGCAGCAGAUGACACCACCACUAUGACUGGUCACUGGAUUGACUGAUGCACAGGAUACUACCACUGGUCUGAUGCAGGACAACACAGCAACACUGUAAGGGACUUAUUAUACAGCAGCACUGGACAUAUGGCAGCAGAGGACACUACCACUGUGACUGGUCACUGGACUGACUGAAGCACAGGAUACUACCACUGGUCUGAUGCAGGACAACACAGCGACACUGUAAGGGACUUACUAUACAGCAGCACUGGACAUAUGGCAGCAGAGGACACCACCACUGUGACUAGUCACUGGACUGACUGAUGCACAGGACACUACCACUGGUCUGAUGCAGGACAACACAGCAACACUGUAAGGGACUUAUACAGCAGCACUGGACAUAUGGUGGCAGAGAACACCACCACUGUGACUGGACACUGGACUGACUGAUGCACAGUACACUACCACUGGUAUGAUGCAGGACAACACAGCGACACUGUAAGGGACUUAUACAGCAGCACUGGACAUAUGGCAGCAGAGGAAACCACCACUAUGACUGGUCACUGGACUGACUGAUGCACAGGAUACUACCACUGGUCUGAUGCAGGACAACACAGAAACACUGUAAGGGACGUAUUAUACAGCAGUACUGGACAUAUGGCAGCAGAAACCACCACUGUGACUGGUCACUGGACUGACUGAUGCACAGGACACUACCACUGGUCUGAUGCAGGACAACACAGCGACACUGUAAGGGACUUACUAUACAGCAGCACUGGACAUAUAGCAGCAGAGGACACCACCACUAUGACUGGUCACUGGACUGACUGAUGCACAGAACACUACCACUGGUCUGAUGCAGGACAACACAGCAACACUGUAAGGGAGUUAUUAUACAGCAGCACUGGACAUAUGGUGGCAGAGAACACCACCACUGUGACUGGACACUGGACUGACUGAUGGACAGGACACUACCACUGGUAUGAUGCAGGACAACACAACGACACUGUAAGGGACUUAUACAGCAGCACUGGACAUAUGGCAGCAGAGGAAACCACCACUAUGACUGGUCACUGGACUGACUGAUGCACAGGACACUACCACUGGUCUGAUGCAGGACAACACAGCAACACUGUAAGGGACUUAUUAUACAGCAGCACUUGACAUAUAGCGGCAGAGAACACCACCACUGUGACUGGUCACUGGACUGACUGAUGCACAGGACACUACCACUGGUAUGAUGCAGGACAACACAGCGACACUGUAAGGGACUUAUAAAGCAGCACUGAAAAUAUGGCAGCAGGGGACACCACCACUGUGACUGGUCACUGGACAGGACACUACCACUGGUCUGAUGCAGGACAACACAGCAACACUGUAAGGGACUUAUUAUAUACAGCGGCACUGGACAUAUAGCAGCAGAGGACACUACCACGGUGACUGGUCACUGGACUGACUGAUGCACAGGAUACUACCACUGGGCUGAUGCAGGACAACACAGCAACACUGUAAGGGACUUAUUAUACAGCAGCACUGGACAUAUGGCAGCAGAGGACACCACCACUGUGACUGGCCCCUGAACUGACUGAUGCACAGGACACUACCACUGGUCUGAUGCAAGACAACACAGCGACACAGUGAGGGACUUAUUAUACAGCAGCACUGGACAUAUGGCAGCACAGGACACCACCACUGUGACUGGUCACUGGAGUGACUGAUGCACAGGACACUACCACUAGUCUGAUGCAAGAAAACACAGCAACACUGUAAGGGACUUAUACAGCAGCACUGGACAUAUGGUGGCAGAGAACACCACCACUGUGACUGGUCACUGGACUGACUGAUGCACAGGAUACUACCACUGGUCUGAUGCAGGACAACACAGCAACACUGUAAGGGACUUAUUAUACAGCAGCACUGGACAUAUAGCGGCAGAGAACACCCCCACUGUGACUGGUCACUGGACUGACUGAUGCACAGGACACUACCACUGGUAUGAUGCAGGACAACACAGCGACACUGUAAGGGACUUAUAAAGCAGCACUGAAAACAUGGCAGCAGGGGGCACCACCACUGUGACUGGUCACUGGACAGGACACUACCACUGGUCUGAUGCAGGAUGCAGCAACACUGUAAGGGACUUAUACAGCAGCACUGGACAUAUGGUGGCAGAGAACACCACCACUGUGACUGGUCACUGGACUGACUGAUGCACAGGAUACUACCACUGGUCUGAUGCAGGACAACACAGCAACACUGUAAGGGACUUAUUAUAUACAGCAGCACUGGACAUAUAGCAGCAGGGGACACCACCACGGUGACUGGUCACUGGACUGACUGAUGCACAGGACACUACCACUGGUCUGAUGCAAGACAACACAGCGACACAGUGAGGGACUUAUUAUACAGCAGCACUGGACAUAUGGCAGCACAGGACACCACCACUGUGACUGGUCACUGGACUGACUGAUGCACAGGACACUACCACUAGUCUGAUGCAAGAAAACACAGCAACACUGUAAGGGACUUAUACAGCAGCACUGGACAUAUGGCUGCAGAGGACGCCACCACUGUGACUGGUCACUGGACUAACUGAUGCAGCUAAGACACUACACUGGACUGAGCAGCACAAGACAGCACUAUAAUCACCACCCCACUUUCCCGCCCGCACAGACACUGAGGACGGAGACACGUCCUCUCACUACACUCUCCAGGACUAGAGUGAAAAUGGCGGCGACGCGUGGCUCCUUAUAUGGUAUCCAAACCCCGCGAGAAUCUGACAGCGGGAUGAUGACUUUUUGCCUCGUUCUGGUUUCUGAGUCAGGCAGAAAAACCCGAGCCGGACUCGGAUCCAGGUUCGGGUAGUGAAGUUCGGUAGGGUUCGGUUCUCUGAGAACCGAACCCGCUAAUCUCUAGUUUUAAUAAAACCACACUCAAAUGUUUUGGUUUUGUAUUUCUUUAAAAAUGGAUAAAAAAAUAUAAUCAUAUAAUUUGGACCUAUUUUUGUUCCUAAAGUAUAAUUUACAUCAAUAACAUUAAUUUCUAGUUAAUUUUGACCAUCUUACAGUAUUCUUUUCAGCAGUAUUGACCAAAGGCUGCAGCGAGCUGGAUGGCUAAACUAUGUAACAGAGCAGUGGCACAAACACACAACAGUUUAAAAGAAUAUAGCACAUCUAUGAAACAUUGCGGCACAGCAGUGGCAGACAGGAUGGCAGUUUAAUAAACUAUACGAUCCUAUAGAAUGUUUUAAUUUAUCAUGAAUCAGAGGCCCGUUACUAGUAUAGGUGAUUAAAGGCAGAGUUACAGUCUAAUAGAAGUCAAUAAUUAUAAGAUGAUAUGACUUCAUGAUAUGAUGAUUAUAUGAUUUGAAGACUAUAUGAAGAUUAUAUGAUUUGAUGAUACUACUCUAUAUAAGUGGAGAAAGCUACAAGAAAUGCACCUAUAUGUCUGGGUGAGAAGCUGGUGAUGGAUAGCCUAGUAAGAUAUAGAAGACAGUCAAUGACCCAGUAAAGUACAGUAUUAUAAUUAUACACUGCCUAUCAAACACACACAAUAAAGGAUGAUAAAGGGGAUGAGUUAGUGAUGGAUGGCCUGGCAAGAUACCGGAGACCACUAAUGCCCCAGUACAGUAACAGUAUCAUAUGAUGCCUGGGAAACACACACAAUAAAAGAUGAUAAAGGGGAUGAGUUAGUGAUGGAUGGCCUGGCAAGAUACCGGAGACCACUAAUGCCCCAGUACAGUAACAGUAUUAUAUGAUGCCUGGGAAACACACACAAUAAAGGAUGAUAAAGGGGAUGAGUUAGUGAUGGAUGGCCUGGCAAGAUACCGGAGACCACUAAUGCCCCAGUACAGUAACAGUAUCAUAUGAUGCCUGGGAAACACACACAAUAAAAGAUGAUAAAGGGGAUGAGUUAGUGAUGGAUGGCCUGGCAAGAUACCGGAGACCACUAAUGCCCCAGUACAGUAACAGUAUUAUAUGAUGCCUGGGAAACACACACAAUAAAAGAUGAUAAAGGGGAUGAGUUAGUGAUGGAUGGCCUGGCAAGAUACCGGAGACCACUAAUGCCCCAGUACAGUAACAGUAUUAUAUGAUGCCUGGGAAACACACACAAUAAAAGAUGAUAAAGGGGAUGAGUUAGUGAUGGAUGGCCUGGCAAGAUACCGGAGACCACUAAUGCCCCAGUACAGUAACAGUAUUAUAUGAUGCCUGGGAAACACACACAAUAAAAGAUGAUAAAGGGGAUGAGUUAGUGAUGGAUGGCCUGGCAAGAUACCGGAGACCACUAAUGCCCCAGUACAGUAACAGUAUUAUAUGAUGCCUGGGAAACACACACAAUAAAGGAUGAUAAAGGGGAUGAGUUAGUGAUGGAUGGCCUGGCAAGAUACCGGAGACCACUAAUGCCCCAGUACAGUAACAGUAUUAUAUGAUGCCUGGGAAACACACACAAUAAAGGAUGAUAAAGGGGAUGAGUUAGUGAUGGAUGGCCUGGCAAGAUACCGGAGACCACUAAUGCCCCAGUACAGUAACAGUAUCAUAUGAUGCCUGGGAAACACACACAAUAAAAGAUGAUAAAGGGGAUGAGUUAGUGAUGGAUGGCCUGGCAAGAUACCGGAGACCACUAAUGCCCCAGUACAGUAACAGUAUUAUAUGAUGCCUGGGAAACACACACAAUAAAAGAUGAUAAAGGGGAUGAGUUAGUGAUGGAUGGCCUGGCAAGAUACCGGAGACCACUAAUGCCCCAGUACAGUAACAGUAUCAUAUGAUGCCUGGGAAACACACACAAUAAAAGAUGAUAAAGGGGAUGAGUUAGUGAUGGAUGGCCUGGCAAGAUACCGGAGACCACUAAUGCCCCAGUACAGUAACAGUAUUAUAUGAUGCCUGGGACACACAGACAAUAAAAGAUGAUAAAGGGGAUGAGUUAGUGAUGGAUGGCCUGGCAAGAUACCGGAGACCACUAAUGCCCCAGUACAGUAACAGUAUCAUAUGAUGCCUGGGACACACACACAAUAAAGGAUGAUAAAGGGGAUGAGUUAGUGAUGGAUGGCCUGGCAAGAUACCGGAGACCACUAAUGCCCCAGUACAGUAACAGUAUUAUAUGAUGCCUGGGACACACACACAAUAAAAGAUGAUAAAGGGGAUGAGUUAGUGAUGGAUGGCCUGGCAAGAUACCGGAGACCACUAAUGCCCCAGUACAGUAACAGUAUCAUAUGAUGCCUGGGAAACACACACAAUAAAAGAUGAUAAAGAGGAGGGAGCUGAUGAUGGAUGUCCUGGCGAGAUAGAGAAGACGACCAAUGCCCCAGUAAAGUACAGAAUUAUGCGCCUCCUGUUAAACACACAAAAUAAAGGAUGAUGAGGAGGAUGAGCUGGUGAUGAAUGGCCUUAGAAGUUACAGAACACCAUCAAUCCAUAGAAAAGUACUGUAAUAUUAUAUGCUGCCUGUCAAAUGCACACAGUCUUGGCAAAACAAACAAGCAGGAGAAGUGUAGGCGGAAAUACGGUAGAAAGCAGCAGCUGAAAUUUGACCCAGUCUUACCUACCACAAGAAAAUAAAUCGCAAUAAAAUCAGGCAGUAUGAUGUCCUUUCCCUCGAUGGCUAUAACAUGAAAGGGAAAAAGAAGGACUGAUACUGUGUAGUUUCUUCCAAAUAUACUGUAUAAUUCACACAAAACAGUAAGGGAUGCCGGAGGGUAGUUUAUAUGACACUUUUGUGGUUGAAAUGCUUGAUUUCAGAUCCACUAAAGAAAACAUGAUGAUGGUUUGGUUAAAUCAAGGUACCAAUGGUUUUAAGGUGGCUAACAAUGUUGUUAAUCAUCAUCAUCAUCAUCAUCAUCAUCAUCAUAGUUGGAAGAUGUCUUCAUCACUGCCUUCCUCAUUGUAAUAUCAUUACUCAAUAUUAGCUCUUCCCUAUAGGAAUCCACUGUUACAGAAGAAGUCUCUGUUUGUUGGAAUUGGCUACACAGGUGUUUCUUAUAGAGUUUUUUUUCCACUUUUUUGGGGGAAGUGGCCUCUUAUACCAAUGGCUCACAAGGUCCCUGGCUCUGCUAAACACUCUUUCCAAGUACACACUGGAGUGUGGGCAUCUUAAGUAUACCAAAGCAAAUUUGUACAAGGGGCUCCAAAUUACCUUUUUUCCUAGAGUAGUAAGAGUAGCCUGGCAUUGUUUGUUAGAUAUUGCUGCUGCUGUUACUGAAGGUGAUACACCCACCCAGCGAGCUGUCACAGUCAUGUGGUCUUUAGUUUGACCGGUAUCGCUUGUCACGUGUCUGUAUUUAUGAGGAUAGUGGGUACCAUGGAAUUUUGUAGGCAAAGAAUAUUUUUGUUUAACGUCCUGGUUCAGUGUGUAAUAUAUGUGCUGGCUGCCUUACACAGGGACCAGCAGCUGCCGCUGUGUAUCACUGACCUGCUGGCUGCUGAAGCACCCAAGUCAGCACUUUGUUCUUCUAUCAUCUUCUAUAAGGCCGCCCCCCACUCCCAUUUGCUCUGGGGUGGGCUUAUAGAAGAUGAUAGACAAGCAGAGUGCUGUCUCCUUUGCUUCGGCAGACUGCAGGUCAGUGAUACACACAGCGGCGGCUGCUGAUCCCUGGGUAAGUCAGCCAGCACAUAUAUUACAUACUGCAUCCUCGAAGUGAUGAUAUGCCCCACACAGAUCCCUGAUCUCAUCAUCAUCAUGUCUGUCUGGGCUUACAUGAAGAGACAGAAGGAUUUGAGCAAGCCUACAACCACAGAAGAUCUGUGGUUGGUUCUCCAAGAUGUUUGGCAUAACCUACCUGCCGAGUACCUUAAAAACUGUACAACCGUACCUAGAAGAAUUGAUGCUGUUUUGAAGGCAAAGGGUGGUUACAGCAAAUACUGAUUUGAUUUAGAUUUAUCUUCUGCUCAAUCACUUUGCAUUUUGUUAACUGAUAAAAAUAAACAUUUAACACUUCUA